This 444-nucleotide ribosomal RNA is filed under the name uncultured bacterium. Its description in RNAcentral is "bacterial SSU rRNA". It matches the Rfam family "Bacterial small subunit ribosomal RNA", at positions 30 to 507 of the family's 1533-position model. The record is from RNAcentral.
AUUGAACGUUGGCGGCAGGCUUUAGACAUGCAAGUCGAACGAGAAAGUGCCUUCGGGCAUGAGUACAGUGGCGAACGGGUGAGUAACGCGUAGGAAUCUACCUUCCGGUGGGGACAACUCGGGGAAACUCGAGCUAAUACCGCAUACGCCCUACGGGGAAAGGCUUCGGCCACUAUUGGAUGAGCCCGCGUCGGAUUAGCUUGUUGGUGGGGUAAUGGCCUACCAAGGCGACGAUCCGUAGCUGGUCUGAGAGGAUGAUCAGCCACACUGGGACUGAGACACGGCCCAGACUCCUACGGGAGGCAGCAGUGGGGAAUAUUGGACAAUGGGCGAAAGCCUGAUCCAGCAAUGCCGCGUGUGUGAAGAAGGCCUGCGGGUUGUAAAGCACUUUCAGUAGGGAAGAUUAUGACGGUACCUACAGAAGAAGCACCGGCUAACUCUGUG